GCGCGAAAACUUUACAAUGCUGGCAACAGCGAUAAGGGAACCUCGAGUGCCAGGUUACAAAUCUGGCUGUCGUGAUGCCUAAAAAGCAUUGCAUAGCAAGGGCCGGGCAAGACCGGUGCCAGCCGCCGCGGUAACACCGGCGGCUCGAGUGGUAACCGUUAUUAUUGGGUCUAAAGGGUCUGUAGCCGGCCGGAUAAGUCUCUUGAGAAAUCUGGCAGCUUAACUGUCAGGCUUUCAGGAGAUACUGUCUGGCUCGAGGCCGGGAGAGGUGAGAGGUACUUCAGGGGUAGGGGUGAAAUCUUGUAAUCCUUGAAGGACCACCAGUGGCGAAGGCGUCUCACCAGAACGGCUCCGACAGUGAGGGACGAAAGCUGGGGGAGCAAACCGGAUUAGAUACCCGGGUAGUCCCAGCCGUAAACGAUGUGCAUUAGGUGUAUCGGUGACCACGAGUCACCGAGGUGCCGAAGAGAAAUCGUGAAAUGCACCGCCUGGGAAGUACGGUCGCAAGGCUAGAAACGUUAAA
This 523-nucleotide ribosomal RNA is filed under the name uncultured Methanosarcinales archaeon. RNAcentral's name for it is "bacterial SSU rRNA". It matches the Rfam family "Archaeal small subunit ribosomal RNA", at positions 339 to 861 of the family's 1478-position model. The record is from RNAcentral. Lineage: Archaea; Methanobacteriati; Methanobacteriota; Methanomicrobia; Methanosarcinales.